RNAcentral lists this unclassified non-coding RNA (209 nucleotides) under uncultured Hymenochaetales. RNAcentral describes it as "sequence contains ITS2". The record is from RNAcentral. Lineage: Eukaryota; Fungi; Basidiomycota; Agaricomycetes; Hymenochaetales.
AAUUCUCAACCCCCUUGUGCUUUUGCGAGCUACAAGGAGGCUUGGAUUUGGGGGACUGUGUUGGCCUAGUCGGUCGACUCCCCUUGAAUGCAUUAGCUGGACUGUCCGUCUUGUUAACGGUUCGCGGUGUGAUACACUAUCUACGCCCUGGUAAAUCCGUCUUUCAGGUCUGGUCAAGCUUCUAAUCGUCUUCGGACAAUUCACCUAUU